RNAcentral lists this ribosomal RNA (181 nucleotides) under Heterodontus francisci (horn shark). RNAcentral's name for it is "partial small subunit ribosomal RNA". Lineage: Eukaryota; Metazoa; Chordata; Chondrichthyes; Heterodontiformes; Heterodontidae. The record is from RNAcentral.
CACCGCGGUUAUACGAGUAACUCAUAUUAAUACUUUACGGCGUAAAGAGUGGUUUAAGAACAUCUCAUAUUAACUAAAGCUAAGACCUCAUCCAGCUGUUACACGCAUUCAUGGGCGGAAUCACCAACAACGAAAGUGACUUUAUUAAACCAGAAAUCUUGACCCCACGACAGUUAAGCCC